Schizosaccharomyces pombe (fission yeast) is the source of this 892-nucleotide non-coding RNA. Lineage: Eukaryota; Fungi; Ascomycota; Schizosaccharomycetes; Schizosaccharomycetales; Schizosaccharomycetaceae. The record is from the annotation of a GenBank genome assembly.
AAAGUUGGCUUACGCAGCGGCUUCCGAAAUUGUAGCAGUUUCUGAAAUGGUUGCAGAAAUUGGUUUAGAUGUUUGUGUCUUUUUCUUCCUGUGAAAUCUUGUAUCCUCUGGACUGAAUCCACCGUUCCCAAACAUGGCAAAAUCGGGCGUGGAUGCCAUAUAAUCGAAUGGACCAAAGUCUUUCUUUGUCCGUAUUAAUUCGAAAAACUUUGGAUAAUCAAUGUGAGUAUGCCAAUGGCCAUCUUUUUUGAACGCAGUUUGAGCAACUAAAAUACUGCAGCUGUGUGCAUGUUCUGCAGCAAUUUCAUAGCGGACGCCAAGGUCUUGUAAAUGAAUAUCAAUAUACUCAAUCAAUUUUUUAACAAAGUCAAUUACCUCUUCAUAAUAAGGCACAUUCUUCAUAGUCAACGGUGAUUGAUCCGAAUUACCACUAUAAGUAACCCCCUUAACUUCGAUGAAACAAGGCACACCAAGACGAAUCAGUUCAGUAUACUCUUUAAUUUGCUCCAUGUUGAAUCCCUUCACCAAGGUCAUUCGGUAAACAGUACGCUGCCGCUUUUCACGUAAAAUCUCCAAACACGUUAGCAUUCGCUCCCAAAAAUCCUUGAAUAAUGGUCGGUCUACUGAUUUGAGACUCUGCUUAGUACUGGCAUCAACAGAAACGUAGAGUUGAGUGACCAUACCCAUAUUUCUUAAUGCUUCAGGAUGCUGGGCAUUUGUUACUAAGAACGAUGAAAUCUCUCUUUCAUGAAGCAUGGACACAAAUUCGUUUAUGUAUGGAUAAAAUAUAGGCUCUCCAACCAAGGACAAAGCACAGUGACGAACACGAGACGCUUCUUCAUAUCUGUCGGGUAGAACACCAGGUACACCUUUCAUUAAUUUUAACUUGGCA